This 253-nucleotide ribosomal RNA is filed under the name uncultured bacterium. Its description in RNAcentral is "partial 16S ribosomal RNA". It matches the Rfam family "Bacterial small subunit ribosomal RNA", at positions 524 to 776 of the family's 1533-position model. The record is from RNAcentral.
UACGGAGGGGGUUAGCGUUGUUCGGAAUGACUGGGCGUAAAGCGCGCGUAGGCGGAUCAUCAAGUCGGGGGUGAAAUCCCGGGGCUCAACCCCGGAAUGGCCUUCGAGACUGGUGGUCUUGAGUUCGAGAGAGGUGAGUGGAAUUCCGAGUGUAGAGGUGAAAUUCGUAGAUAUUAGGAAGAACACCAGUGGCUAAGGCGACAUACUGGCUCAUUACUGACGCUGAGGUGCGAAAGCGUGGGGAGCAAACAGG